Molecule: transfer RNA, 74 nt
Filed under: marine sediment metagenome
Description: tRNA-Ala
Rfam family: tRNA
About the family: Transfer RNA (tRNA) molecules are approximately 80 nucleotides in length. Their secondary structure includes four short double-helical elements and three loops (D, anti-codon, and T loops). Further hydrogen bonds mediate the characteristic L-shaped molecular structure. tRNAs have two regions of fundamental functional importance: the anti-codon, which is responsible for specific mRNA codon recognition, and the 3' end, to which the tRNAs corresponding amino acid is attached (by aminoacyl-tRNA synthetases). tRNAs cope with the degeneracy of the genetic code in two manners: having more than one tRNA (with a specific anti-codon) for a particular amino acid; and 'wobble' base-pairing, i.e. permitting non-standard base-pairing at the 3rd anti-codon position.
Source: RNAcentral
GGGCCCAAGGUGUAAUGUUUGCAUGUCUCUUUUGCAAGGAGUUGGUCAGGGUUAGAUUCCCUGUGGGUCCACCA